This is a non-coding RNA of Mycena leptocephala, 92 nucleotides long. The record is from the annotation of a GenBank genome assembly. NCBI's taxonomy places the organism in Eukaryota, Fungi, Basidiomycota, Agaricomycetes, Agaricales, Mycenaceae.
GCGUCCUUGGUGUAACGGUAACACACAAAUCUACUUACGCGAACUGAUGACUAAAUGAGAUUGGGUCCGGGGUUCGACUCCCCGUGGGCGCA